Molecule: ribosomal RNA, 273 nt
Filed under: uncultured bacterium
Lineage: Bacteria
Description: partial 16S ribosomal RNA
Rfam family: Bacterial small subunit ribosomal RNA
Source: RNAcentral
UACGUGGGGGGCAAGCGUUGUUCGGAAUUACUGGGCGUAAAGGGCUCGUAGGCGGCCAACUAAGUCGGAUGUGAAAUCCCCAGGCUCAACCUGGGAACUGCAUCCGAUACUGGAUGGCUUGAAUUCGGGAGAGGGAUGCAGAAUUCCAGGUGUAGCGGUGAAAUGCGUAGAUAUCUGGAGGAAUACCGGUGGCGAAGGCGGCAUCCUGGACCGACAUUGACGCUGAGGAGCGAAAGCUAGGGGAGCAAACGGGAUUAGAAACCCCGGUAGUCC